GCCUGCUUGCACAUCUUCAACCUCCUCAUCCUCACGGGGGUCCUCAUUCUCCUCUGGCAGCUCAUCUCCUAUUCAUGAAAUGUAGGC
This is a long non-coding RNA of Alosa sapidissima (American shad), 87 nucleotides long. RefSeq lists it as uncharacterized. The transcript has 3 exons. The record is from RefSeq and is a predicted model, not a curated record. Lineage: Eukaryota; Metazoa; Chordata; Actinopteri; Clupeiformes; Clupeidae.